GACGAACGCUGGCGGCGUGCCUAAUACAUGCAAGUAGAACGCACAGUUUAUACCGUAGCUUGCUCCACCAUAGACUGUGAGUUGCGAACGGGUGAGUCACGCGUAUGUAACCUGCCUGGUAGCGGGGGAUAACUAUUGGAAACGAUAGCUAAUACCGCAUAAUAUUAAUUAUUGCAUGAUAAUUCAUUGAAAGGUGCAAUUGCACCACUACCAGAUGGACCUGCGUUGUAUUAGCUAGUAGGUGAGGUAACGGCUCACCUAAGCGACGAUACAUAGCCGACCUGAGAGGGUGAACGGCCACACUGGGACUGAGACACGGGCCAGAAUUCUACGGGAGGGAGCAGUAGGGAAACAUCGGAAAUGGACGAAAGGCUGAACGAGCAACGACGGGGGAGUGAAGAAGGGUGUCGGAUCGGAAAGCUCUGUUGUAAGAGAAGAAAGGGUGGGAGAGUGGAAAGUUCACACUGUGACGGUAUCUUAACAGAAAGGGACGGCUAACUACGUG
This 505-nucleotide ribosomal RNA is filed under the name uncultured bacterium. RNAcentral's name for it is "partial 16S ribosomal RNA". It matches the Rfam family "Bacterial small subunit ribosomal RNA", at positions 28 to 507 of the family's 1533-position model. The record is from RNAcentral.